UUUUUAAUUUUGCUAAAAAUUAUUUAAACAAUCUUGGCAAUUAGCUGAAACUAAGUUACUUGAACUUAGGAUCAUUUGUGAGAAUAAAAAUACUAUCGAAUUGCUAGAAAUUUCUGAAGUUGUGGUGAGAUUUAGUUAAACCUAAACUAAAGCAAGUAAGAUAGAAUAAAAGUAAGAGCUAGAAGAGUUAAAGAAUGAGCUUAAGAGCAAAGUAUGCAUAGUUUUGUUCAUAUAUCAUGUUGGAGUUAUAUUAAGCAGUGUACAUUAACUUUGUAGAUG
RNAcentral lists this long non-coding RNA (279 nucleotides) under Elaeis guineensis (African oil palm). Its description in RNAcentral is "long non-coding RNA (EGUI_LNC044291)". Lineage: Eukaryota; Viridiplantae; Streptophyta; Magnoliopsida; Arecales; Arecaceae. The record is from RNAcentral.